UACGGCUAUAUCGCUUUAAAACACCGGUUCUCGUACGAUCACAAAAGUUAAGCAACGUCGAGCCUGGUCAGUACCUGGAUGGGUGACCGCUUAGUAAUGUCAGGUGCUGUAAG
Non-coding RNA from Acanthosepion pharaonis, 113 nucleotides. NCBI's taxonomy places the organism in Eukaryota, Metazoa, Mollusca, Cephalopoda, Sepiida, Sepiidae. The record is from the annotation of a GenBank genome assembly.